Molecule: non-coding RNA, 106 nt
Organism: Dentipellis sp. KUC8613
Lineage: Eukaryota; Fungi; Basidiomycota; Agaricomycetes; Russulales; Hericiaceae
Source: the annotation of a GenBank genome assembly
GUCCGUGUAGAUUAGUGGUUAGAUCACCACGUUGUGGAGCGAGAGACCUUGUCAAGAUCUCUGCCUCAGAACCGUGGUAACCCAGGCUCGACUCCUGGCACGGACA